CUGGAACUACGCUCCCGUCGUGCUCCGCGGCUCCAGGCGGAGACGAGGCGGGGCAGGCCGGUUGCUAAGACUUGGCGAGGCGAAGCGCCCGCGCCCGCGUCCCUCAGGCGGCUGCAGGCUUCAGCCCGCGCCGGUCGGCGAGGAAGAGA
Sapajus apella (tufted capuchin) is the source of this 149-nucleotide long non-coding RNA. RefSeq lists it as uncharacterized. The transcript has 2 exons. Lineage: Eukaryota; Metazoa; Chordata; Mammalia; Primates; Cebidae. The record is from RefSeq and is a predicted model, not a curated record.